RNAcentral lists this ribosomal RNA (677 nucleotides) under Nebria cf. castanea/raetzeri. RNAcentral describes it as "SSU rRNA". It matches the Rfam family "Eukaryotic small subunit ribosomal RNA", at positions 61 to 710 of the family's 1831-position model. Lineage: Eukaryota; Metazoa; Arthropoda; Insecta; Coleoptera; Carabidae. The record is from RNAcentral.
CAGUACAAGCCUAAUUAAGGUGAAACCGCGAAAGGCUCAUUAAAUCAGUUAUGGUUCCUUAGAUCGUACGCACAUUUACUUGAAUAACUGUGGUAAUUCUAGAGCUAAUACAUGCAAACAGAGCUCCGACCAGAGAUGGAAGGAGUGCUUUUAUUAGAUCAAAACCAAUCGGCGGCAGUCACUUCGGUGUCUGUUCGUCGCCCUAUUUGGUGACUCUGAAUAACUUUAUGCUGAUCGCACGGUCUUGCACCGGCGACGCAUCUAUCAAAUGUCUGCCUUAUCAACUGUCGAUGGUAGGUUCUGCGCCUACCAUGGUUGUAACGGGUAACGGGGGAUCAGGGUUCGAUCCCGGAGAGGGAGCCUGAGAAACGGCUACCACAUCCAAGGAAGGCAGCAGGCGCGCAAAUUACCCACUCCCGGCACGGGGAGGUAGUGACGAAAAAUAACGAUAAGAGACUCUUCCGAGGCCCCGUAAUCGGAAUGAGUACACUUUAAGUCCUUUAACCAGGAACCAUUGGAGGGCAAGUCUGGUGCCAGCAGCUGCGGUAAUUCCAGCUCCAAUAGCGUAUAUUAAAGUUGUUGCGGUUAAAAAGCUCGUAGUUGAAUCUGUGUCCCGUGCUGUCGGUUCACCGCCCGCGGUGCUAACUGGCACGUCUCACGGGACGUCCUGCCGGUGG